Long non-coding RNA from Passer domesticus (house sparrow), 9988 nucleotides. RefSeq lists it as uncharacterized. The transcript has 2 exons. Lineage: Eukaryota; Metazoa; Chordata; Aves; Passeriformes; Passeridae. The record is from RefSeq and is a predicted model, not a curated record.
CUCUGAGCAAAGAAUUUCCGCCCAAAAGCAAAUCUAACCCUACAGACCUCUGAGGACAGCAGUGACCGUGAGGAAUUACGUGUGCACAGAGUUGGUGACUCUACAGGAGCUGCAGGCAGGACACAAACUCCCUCAGGAAUCUGAAAUCGGCGGCGCAGUGAUCCAGCAGGAUCCAAAGGACGCUGGCCGAGUUAAAGCUUUGUGGGGCCUGGGAAGGCAGCCCCCACACAACCUGUAUGGAAUGUAUUUCACCAAAUUGGCAACAAUGCCUCUGAGCAGAGGGUCAGGGGAAGCUGUUGGCUGGUGGUGUCAGAAGGGGCUGGAGAGCAGCAGCAGCCAGAGCUGCUCCUGGGAGGGAGACAUGCCAGCGCCACCCACACUGGUGUGGUGCCCUACGCCUGGCUGGGACACAACUGGAAAAUUAGUGGGAGUGAGGUACACUGCAGUCAUCCCCGUGUGGUUUGUAACAUACAAUUACAAGCAUUUCAUACACUGUGAAACACAAACCUCACAACUGAUGUAUUAAUUCCACAGUGACAGCAGGACUGUGGAUCCAAGCAUCACCAGACUUGCAGUGACCACACUGGGCUUUGGAGUAGGCUUGGUGAGAGGUCACUGCCCUCUGGGAGCCAUGGAGUGACACCAUUCCCUCCACUUGUUAUGACACCUGAAAUGGAAUAGAUUGUGCCUGUUUUUAACUCACACUAAGCCAAUGUGAAAAAAACUUUAAAAACAAUCUUUAAAACAACAGCAGCUGCAAUGGUAGGUUGAAGAAAGAGCUAAACACUACAGAGCAUAGCAAGGUGGGAUGAAGGUACAAGGUCAAACAGAGUGGAAGGGAAGAUGGGGGAGAUCCUCCCCCAAUACCUGUUUGGAAGGAGAUCCUAUUUCUGUGGGCCUAAAUCUUAGCCCACAGUGCAAGCAGCUGUUCAAAUUAGAAGGAGCUCUAAUGAUGGAAGAGACUUGCUGAAAAAUUACUUUGACAUGAAACAGUGGUAGCAGGGGUACUUAUGGAGAAUUGGAAUAAGGAAAUCAGCUGUCCAGGAGGAAGGACUGAUGAGUUACAUUGCCACAUUUUGUCACUACAAAUACACUUGAGCAAAACUAACUGGAAAGAUGAAAUAACUCAUGCAAAAAUAGUUAACCAACAGUGCAUCUCUCACUCAGGAGAUCAUAGUCCAAAUUCCCAAGCAGCAAUAUCUCUUUCUCUCCCUUUUUUUCAUUUUCUCUGUGGACUCCUCACUUUUCUCUUAUGAUUAUCUCUUACAAAACAUCAAAUAAUCUUAGGAUUAUCUCUUACAAAAUCUCAGAGACAGGGUCACACUGUGCUGGACAGACUGCUCAUUCCCUGGAUGGCCAUUUCUUUCACGCACAAAACUCUCCUGGGCUCUGGCACGUUGCUUUUCACAGAGCCAGAACUGACCUCAGCCUUCCUGCUGGAGCGUGAGACAAGCCCAGAGCAGAGCCCAGUGCCGAGCACAGGCAGGCAGGGGCAGCAGAGGCAGCUCCUGGGAACACAAGGGAGGCUGCACAGCAAACAGCUCUGUGCCCCACCGUUGUUCCAUGCUGCUGAAUCCCUAGAGAGGAUUCCACCAGCUUAAGGAAAUUAAAGGGCACUCAGAAUCACAGUGCUCUAAGACUGGCCACAGCUCUGCAGGUUUGCACUGUACAGAAUAAAUGAGAUCCUGCUAAGUGAUCAGCAGAGUCUAAGCUCGGAGCUGCAACUCUCUGAAUCUCUUCAGCAAUCUCCAAGCCACUGGGAAAUGGGAGUAUCCACCAGCCCAAACACAGGAUUGCAGGAUCUGCUCUUUGAGAGGAUAAUGCUGCAAUCAUGGGCAGGAUCUCCCAAAGAACUCACCCUUCAAAUCAGUGGGGAUCUUCUGUCUCAAGAUCCCCUCAGUCAUUUCCUUUUCACAUUGGUGAAAAGGAAAUGACUGGGGAGGUUCCUGGGUUUGGGAUUUGCUUCUUGCCUCCACUGUUUCCUUUGGUCCUAUGGAAACAGUCACUAAAUCUGCAUCAGUUCCCAGUUCCUGUAGCCCGUAAAUCAGCCAGAACUCCCCUUGACCUUGGUGGGAGGCUUGCAUGAUUAAAGCCAGAAGAGAGACAGCAAUGAAAAAUCACAUACAAGAGCCUUUCUUUUCUUUUCUUCUCUCUCUCUCUUUUUUUUUUUUUUUUUUUUUUUUUUUUUUUUUUUUUUUUUAAGAAAAGAGAAGUGUUUCUAGCCAUGAGAAAUACUUCUUUUCUGCUCCUAAGGGCAAACUUUGAAAGUGAUGUAACUGUUACACGCAUAUAUCCUAUUAUUUGUUAGCAGGUUUCACACAGGUAACUUGCUCAAAUCACUUUGAAAACAUUUCCUUUAAUAUAGGAACACAGGAGACAGAUUAAAAGCAUGCAGGUCUCCUGCUGAAUGCCAGAGGCUCUGGAACACUGAACUCAGUACUUUGUAAAAUUAUCUCCCUUCAAACAAACUUUCUACUGUACUGAUUGAAAAGGAGAAGGAAGGUGGGAGCCAAAUAAUGCUAGAGAGAAUUCAAGUCAAUUUUCUGCCUACACAGCCUGACAGGACCCCAGCCCUGGCCAUGACCUCCCCAGAGCUCUGCUUACCUGACGACCUCCAACGCCCCAUUUGGAAACAAUAAUUAGCCCUAUUAGUGAAUAAAGAAAACGAAAUCUAACAGAAAGUUUAAGAAUCAAGCAAAUCCUGCACUCAGGUUUCAUUUCAAUCCUCGGAUUAAGAGUUUUCAUCCAAAUCCACUCUAAUUAAAGAUGGUGGGAGCUUUGCAGAGAUGCAGAUAUUUCUACCACACCAACCAGCUGCUCCACUUCCCAGGAUUUAGUCUGAUGUACUUUAAGGCCCUCCCUGUCAAAUAUGCUGAUCUAGGAUUUCAGCUUCCUUGCAGCUUCCAGCCAAAAGGCUCCAUAUCACUGACUGGGGCUGCAGGAUGAGUAAGCAGGUAUUCUAACAAGGGAAGGAUGAGACUGGAACUGUCCUGGGCUAUGAAGAUUGCAGGAUUGUGCCCUACAGCUCUGAGCACCUCCAGCUUUCUUUGAAGCCUGUGGCAGCAACCCAGGAUCAAGUCUUCACUUAUUCAGAGGGUAAUUCUCCCAGGAUUUUCAGUAAGGUUUAUUUUUCACUCCUGACACUUCUUCUAUGCUCCUAAUGUCAGAGUUUCUGCCAAAUAUGUGUGGCUUCUCUCCUUUUAUCCUCCUUUUCCUUUCAAAAAACCCAAACCCCACAGUGAAGGCUUUAGUUUCCCUUUUUUUUAAUUUUUUUUUUAAUUGAUUGGUUUUCUUUGUUGAUUUUGUAUAGCACCUUCCCCAGUCUCCAGGAGGAGAGUUUUGGUGGAGCUGAAUCAUGCACAGCAGUGGCUGAACAGCAUGUUCUGAGACUGGACACCCAAAGCACAGAGCUCUGAAGCCAUAAACAACUUGACAAGGCUGAGGUUGUGCCUCUGAGCAGAACAUUGAACACUGACAAGUUCCUUAGGAAAAACAGGCCUCGAGCUGUCAAGAGCGCUAAAACUCUAAGAUGGAGAAAAAUAAUUUAAUUUUCCUUCUCAAAGGUUAAGAAACACUGCCAAACCCAAUGACUGAUGUUGGCACAAGGAGGAUAGAAAUGAAAUGCAGGAAUGAAAGGCUGAAAAGAAUAGAAGACUUGUCAUAACAAUGAGGGAUUUACGUUUUGAGGUCCAGAAUUUUUUAGUCUCAGUUUAGACAGUGCCCCUUACUUAAAAACAACAAGCUGACCAAGUUUUGGAGUGAAAAUUGCAUUUUCUCAUGUUAAAAUUAAUUUUUCUUGCUAAAACAAAGUAUAUGGGAUUCAAGAAUUGCCAUGAAUUACAACAAAAACUGUAGACAGUACAGCUUCAAAAAGAUGCCUGAACCAAAGCUGAGGCUGAUGUAAGCCAUCAGAGCUUGAAGAAGUUAAUUGACUUUAAGCUACUAAAAAACUGAUUUAUGAUGAAUAUUCCCAGUAGAAGUAGCAGACUCAUUUGUUUUCUGCAUAUAAAACACACCCAAAUUAACUUUAUUUAGUAUUUCAUGUGCUCAUUAGUGACACAUAAGUCUCAAGUCCACACUGGAUGUAAAAUAUAUAUAUGGGCCAUUACAACAGCAGCCUUUGCAGAUGGCACAUAUUAAAUCAUUAAAAAGUUACUGCUCUUCAGUCAUUAAUGGCUAGGAAACACUAUGAAUUUGGCCUUCUGGUGCUAUUUUUCCCACUGAAGAGUCAGCUUUUGACAACUGACUUUAUAAGCACUGAGGAGAAAUGCAUGCAAGGCAUCCAGAGCAAUCAGCUGCCAGCAGAACCCACACCCACCUCAGCAGCCCCAGGGACUCCCUGGGAAUUGUUUGUAAAGCAAAGGCUGAGGCUGGAGGCUCGUCACAAUAACAGGAAUGACAAUGCAGGGACCACUGCAGCUCAAGGAGUUGCUGAUGGAUGGAGCAUCAUUCUUUCCCCAGUGACAAGUGAAUGAGGUAGACACAACCUUGUUUCUAAUACCAGUCAAUUCAUAGGCUCAGAUGAAAAGACCCUUGUGCAAAAAGCCCAGCAUUACACAGAAAAGCAGGCACAGUGAUAAUCAGCCUCUUCUUCACUUGUUGCAUGUAAUACCCACAUGGUUUUGUGAGGAUUUGCCAUUGCAGACACUCAGCCUCUCGAUCUGGUCCCCAUUUCUGCCAAGAUCAUUCACUGUAUUCUACAGGGCUGUGUCAAUUCUUUUUCCUGUCAAUGUUGCUGUCACUUUCUUUAAAACAAUGCUCUAGAAAGUGUCAGAGCAGACUGAUUUUCUUGACAUCCCCUGAAUUUCUCUUUUCUUAUUUUCCUCACAUUGCAUUUGAUAUAAUUUCUCCUUCACUUCCAUUGUAGUUUCAUACAUACACCUUAGCUAGGGUUCACACUGUCCUACUAAGCUGAAGGAAAAGGAUAAAGCAAAAUAUUUUUUAGUAUAAAUAGCAAUGCAACAGGUUCUAUCAAUUCAGGUGUCUCCUACAAUGUUCCUGUUCAGACCUGUGCUGGGCCAUCCUGAGGGAAACCCAUAAUUUCCUGAGAUCUCACCAUCCUCUUAGGGCUCUCAGGAAAGCCAGGCUCCAAAGAACAGCACAUCUCAUUUUCCCUGCUGCAUGCACCCAACUCCAGGGCUUUUCCCAUAUGACUUUGACUUAGGUUCCUUUCUCACAUUACAUAUUACCACUCAUGUUUUUUCACCAGCUUGAGCUGCCCCUCAUUUUAUUUUCUGCCAUUCAGGACGUAUUUGCUCAAGGGAAAGAAAGGCAUCAUAGAAAUCUUGCUUUCUAAAGAGACUUCUGGCCCCUGGACCUAAUUCUGUUGCCACUGUCAGUGUCAGAAUGGGGCCAGUGAAUAUACACUGUCUAUAUCCAGUUCAUACUGUUUUAAAAUCCUUUUGCAUUAUGUUUCGUUGAAAUAAUUUUAAAAGCAUAUGUAUUUAUUAACCUAUAAAAUUUUUUUUACUCAUUCAAACUCCUCAUAAAGGCUUGAUUGAAGGGCAGUAUGAUGAUCUACCAAGAAUACAAAAGAAAAGUGUUUAGAAAUGGGUCAAAGAUACAAAAAUCUUGAAGAAAUAAUACAAAAGUUCAGAAGAAAGGCUUUGGGAAUAUUUUCUGCAAAGAAUUAGAAGAUCACAACUGGAGAGAAUGAGGCUGGAGAAGAUAAUAACAUAGAAUUGCCUCACAGGAUGCAGUGCACAGAGCCUGCCUGUGAGCACACGCGAGCUGGACACGUCUGCCAAGACCUGAUGCCAAGGCUGAUCUCUUCCUCCGUGGCAGGGAUGCUGAGGAACCACAUUACUCACACUGCCAGCAUGGGAACAGAUGUUUGGUCAUGCCUAACUGGUGGUUCCAAGCCUCAGCACUCCAGGGCCAGCUCCCAGCAGAGCCUGAAGCCCAAAGUGAAGAGCUUUGUCAUUGAUCCCAGCAGUCAGAGAGCAGCUCCUCUCCCCAGCCCCUACGGAAAAACCAGCAGGAGAACUCUUCACUAACCAUCACCCCCAUUAAGGCCAGAAAGCUCCAGUCCCUUCCACAAAUGUAAAAGUGACCUGAAAAAGUGUUCAUCUGAGUAUUUCUAUGUGAAACUCUGUAUCCUCUGUGCUGCUGGGAACACAGAGUUUCCUUAUUCAAAAGACAAGUUGGAUUCCAAAGAAUAUUCACAAAUUGGCUUGGGGAGAAUCCACAAGAGUAUUUGGAGUAGUUAAAAGUGUUAAUGAUAAAUCUUGAGAAGGUAAUGAAUGACCUAGUUCAUCUCUUUUGAGCUUCAUGGUCAAAACUAAAGAAAGAAGCACUCGAGAAGUGAGACACUUGAACGUGUUCUCAAGGGAUUAGAGAGCCAUUUAAUGUAAAAGCAAAGAAGUUACAAGUGCUAAAUAAUUAAAAUUACCAUAUUUACACUGAGUAUUUCAGAACUGUAGACUGUUUUGGGUGGGAAAGGACCUUAUAGACCAUCUAAUUCCAAUACUUCUGCCAUGAGUAGGACACCUUCCUCUAGAACAAGUUGUUCAAAACUUCACCCAACCUGGCCUGGAACGCUUCCAGGAAUGAUGCAGCCACAGCUUCUCUGGGCAACCUGUGCCAGUGCUGCACCAUUGUCGUGGUGCAGAACCUCUUCUGUUCAUCUAAAUCUACUCUCUUUCUGUUUAAAGCCAUUACCCCAUGCCCUGCAUGACCUUGCAAAAAGUCCCUCUCCAGCUCUCUUGUAGUUCUAGAAGGUGCUAUAAGGCCUCCCUGGAGUCUUCUCUUCUCCAGGCUGGAGCCUCGGCUCUCCCAGCCUGUUCCCACAGCAGAGGUGCUCCAGCCCUCUAAGCAUCUUCAUCACCCUCCUCUGGACUUGCUCCAACAGGUCCAUGUCCUUAUGUUGGAGAGCCCAGAGCUGGGUGCAGUGUUCCAGCCAGGAUCUCAGCAGAGCAGAGGGGCAGGAACCCCUCCCUUCACCUGCUGGCCAGGCUGCAACCCAGAUUGUUUGGCUUUCUGGGCUGCAAGUGCACAUGGCUGGCUCAUGGUGAGCUUCUCAUCCACCAGCAUCCCCACGUCAGGGCUGCUCUCCUCCCAGCCUUUAUUUUAUCCUGGGAUUGCCCUGCAGGACCUGGUACUUUGCCUUGCUGAACUUCAUGAGGUUUGCCUGAGCCCACCCCUCAAGCUGCCAAGGUCCCUUUGGAUGAAAUCCCUUCCCUGCAGCACGUUGACUCCACCACACAUCUUGGUGCUGUGGGCAAACCUGCAGAGAGUGCACUGGGUCCCCCUGCCCAUGCUGCCAGGGAAGAUGUGAAAUGACAGCUGUCCUGACCCUGGGGAAGGCCACAAGGGUGUUGUGUGGGACAAAGUCAGAUGCUUUGCACAAGCCCAGGUGAAUGAUGUCUGUCGCUCUUCUGGCAUGAUUUGCCCUCAGUGGCAAAGUAUGUGGGUUACACUUCCCUGUUUUCUGUCAGUGGCAGCUUCACUGCACUAGCCAUGACUUCUCAAAUCUGACAGAUAGCGGAUUAACAACUUCAUCUGCCAGUUCCCUUGGGACCUGUGUCUGCAUCUCAUCAGGUCCUGUGACUUGUCCACCUCCAACCUCCUUAGAUGGUCUUGGGACCUGCUCUCCUGCAGUGGGAGGUUCUGCAUUACCCCAGUCCGUUUGCCCCCUGCAACUCAGGGGGUGUGGCUGGAGCCCUUGCUGCUGAAAAUCAAGGCAGAAGUGCCACUGGAUAUCUCAGCCUUCCCCAUGUCCCAGGUAACCAGGUGCCCUUUUACUUAUGGAGACCACCCACAUAUCCCCAGUCGUCCUUUUAUCACCAAUGUACCUGUAGAAGUUCUCUUGUCAUCCUUGAUGUUCCUGGUCAUCUUCAAUUCUAUCAGGGCUUUGGCUUUCCUAACCUGAUCUCUGGAUGCUUGGACAGUCUCUCUGCAUUCCUCACAGACAACUCAUCCUUGUUUCUGCCCUCUGUAGUGCCCUUUUGGCACUUGAGUUUGUCCAGGAGCUCCUUGUUCAUCCAAGCAGGUGUCCUGGUAUUUCUGCCUGACUGUUAAUUUGUUGGGAUAUAUUUCACCUGAGCUUUGAGGAGGCAAUCCUUAAAUAUUAACCACCCUUUUUGGGCCCAUCUUGCCUUCAGGGCUUUAUCCCAUGGGACUUUACAAAGAAGAAAUCUGAAGAGGCCAAAUUUUACUCUCCUGCAGUCCAGGAUUUUGAACUUGUUGCACAUCCUCCUUGCUGCCUCCCACCAUUUCAUGACAUCUGCAGCCAAGGCUGCAGUAUCCAAACCAAGACCAAUCUAUUAGAGUAAUAGUAAAAUAUUUUCAAAUGUACCUAAUACUUUUUGGAAAAGGAAAGUUAUAGCCGUCAUUUGAGUCUGAUCUUUCUUGUAUUUUCCCCUAAAGCUUACUGGUCUAACUCUGCUGACUUAGAAUCAAAGCUUUGUGUACCUAUUAUGCACAUGAGAAGGAAAAAGUUUUCUGCUCCGUUCAACUAUUUCUGCCCUCUUCAUUUAUAUCAAAACAAAAUCUGAAACAGAAGGUGUGAAGGGAGAAGGAUUCUUUUCUGUCCCAAGAGUACAUCUAACAAAGAAACAACCCCAGAUUGCUAAAGAUUCUGUUCAAAGAUAAGAAGCUGGAAAUCUGGAUUCUUAGCACUGAGCUCUGCUGUGCCCCCACCCUGCUGCAUGACACUGGCUGAGCCUUCAAGGCAGGGAUAGUCUCCUCCCAUGCAUUUACAUCACAUCUAGCCCAUCAAGACUGCCAGGCUGCACUUUAAUAUAAAUAUAUGUCUUGACAAUUUUCUCUAAUGGCAGUCUAUAGACGUACCUGCCCUUUGAAAGCACUGCAGAGGGAUUUACCUAUGCAGCCCCCACUGAUUUCACUGGAGAUAGUUUCCUUCUGACAUACCUGUUUGUACUCUGGGUGUGUGCACAUGAAAAAAGAAGACAUUGGACGAAGCAGUCAAAGCAAUAUAACCCAGUAUGGGCUGCCAUUAUGCAAAUGGGCCACACCACAGUCUUCCCAAAUGGAUCUCACAAGGAUGGAGGUACCACCAGCCAUGUGAGGCAAGGAAUGACUCCAGAUUUCCAGAUAUGUCACCUGUGCUGGUUGCACAGGUGGCGUUCAGAAGCAGGACAGCGCCCAUCAGCUGCCAGGAACUGAAGGAAACGGGUCAAGAGGCCACAGAGCUUAUUGCUUACAGAAGCUCUUCAGCAGUUCAUUACACUUCUUACAAGUCAUCUUUAACAGAAGUAAGUGCCAGUUCCUUCAUUGUCUUCAGCAGAACACCUGAAAGUGAAAAGCACUCUCCUGUCUGAAGCUGCUCAGAUACAAACUGAACAACUUUCUUCCAAGUCAAAAUCUAAGACUACAAACUGUUUUGACUGGAGUCUGCAUACUGCUGCUAACACAGGGGUAGUUUUUCAAGUGUUUCGUUCUGUGCAUGCUAACUAGGGAUGAUUUGGUUAUUCACAGCAUGAUUUGGUUAUUCAGCUUUAUAGCAUCAGGAAAAACUGGGUACAAAAGAGAAAAGCACCCACGAGAGAGUGACCUGCAAGUUCAAGCAGCCCCUUCCCUGUUCAUCAAUCUGUAAAGGUCAACAGCCAUUGCAGAAGCUUGUAACACUCCCAGAUUCUGUCCCAGGGCUUCAUCCAUGUUUGUUGGGUCAAAAGGUUAGAAAGCAACAAAUAAAAGGGACUGAGAGCUAAACCUCACAAAAUGAGAUGAACAGGAACAGAGGAAGAGGAGCUGGGAACGCAGCGUUGCUGCUCAGCAUCACAACAAAGAGCAGCUUCUCCAGACAGUGAUGGCUCAAAAGAUUACCAGUUCCAGCCUGCCUCUGCUCAUCCACCUAGGCUGUAUUCUUUUGAACUGUAACCUCAGGAAAAAUAAGUAAAUUGUCCUGAGAGUGAUCUAAAAAGUAAAAGCAACUUCACUGUAGAAAAAAAGAAAAAUACCCUGAAUGCGAAUCCAUACACUUGCUCCAUUUAAAUGCAUUUAAAAUAAAUUAAUUCUGUGUCUCAAA